GGCUCGGUAGCUGAGGGUCUGCAGCUGCCUUCCAUGACCUCCUCUUGGAUGCAAUGCAGACAAUGCCUGUUCGACUCAGGCCCGAGCCA
Mycena leptocephala is the source of this 89-nucleotide non-coding RNA. The record is from the annotation of a GenBank genome assembly. NCBI's taxonomy places the organism in Eukaryota, Fungi, Basidiomycota, Agaricomycetes, Agaricales, Mycenaceae.